RNAcentral lists this ribosomal RNA (424 nucleotides) under uncultured bacterium. RNAcentral's name for it is "bacterial SSU rRNA". It matches the Rfam family "Bacterial small subunit ribosomal RNA", at positions 355 to 776 of the family's 1533-position model. The record is from RNAcentral.
UAAGGAAUAUUGGACAAUGGAGGCAACUCUGAUCCAGCCAUGCCGCGUGAAGGAAGAAGGCGCUACGCGUUGUAAACUUCUUUUGUAACAGAGAAAACCCUCUUACGUGUAAGAGGCUGAUAGUAUGUUAAGAAUAAGCAUCGGCUAACUUCGUGCCAGCAGCCGCGGUAAGACGAAGGAUGCAAGCGUUAUCCGGAUUCAUUGGGUUUAAAGGGUGCGUAGGCGGAUAUAUAAGUCAGUGGUGAAAUCUCUCAGCUUAACUGAGAAACUGCCAUUGAUACUGUGUAUCUUGAGUACAGAUGAUGUUGGCGGAAUAUGACAUGUAGCGGUGAAAUGCAUAGAUAUGUCAUAGAACACCGAUUGCGAAGGCAGCUGACAAAACUGUAACUGACGCUGAGGCACGAAAGUGCGGGGAUCAAACAGG